RNAcentral lists this long non-coding RNA (577 nucleotides) under Takifugu rubripes (torafugu). RNAcentral describes it as "lncRNA (ENSTRUG00000030069.1)". Lineage: Eukaryota; Metazoa; Chordata; Actinopteri; Tetraodontiformes; Tetraodontidae. The record is from RNAcentral.
GAAAGGGAAUUGCCAACUGCAUCAUUUGAAUCGAAAGCGGGUAAGGACUUUAUCGUGACGCAGGAUGGACGACAUGCGAGUGGCCUUUUGCCCGUUUUGUGGCAAACAUUUGAUCAGAUUGACGCCGUUUUGUGGUUUCUGUGGUCGGUCUUUGGCGUUUUUAAAUGCCGCAGCCCAGACCGAAGAACCAGCCGUACCGGGGACGUCAGGGGACGGACCAGAUCUGCUUCAGCAUAACUACACAGACCUGUAUGCAUCAGAUGUUGAGGACAUGGAUGAGGAUCUGGUUGCGGUCGAUGUUGGGAAUUUGCAACACACUGCAGUGGAGGAGAUGAGCAUUACACUGCCCGACAUUGUGGCAAACUUGUCACUACCCAUUGAUCACAAAAGGGUCAGCAGGUUCAACAUCUCCAGGGCUAAUGUUUGGGAUGGAGCGGUCAGAGGUUUCAAGCGUACAACAUAUACAGAAAAAUGUGACAUGCUGGUAAGAUUUACUGAUGAUGCUGGUGUUUUUGAGGAGGGAAUUGACACAGGUGGUCCCAGAAGAGAAUUCUUCACUCUAUUACAUCGCUUAUGA